Molecule: ribosomal RNA, 253 nt
Filed under: uncultured bacterium
Lineage: Bacteria
Description: partial 16S ribosomal RNA
Rfam family: Bacterial small subunit ribosomal RNA
Source: RNAcentral
UACAGAGGUGGCAAGCGUUGUUCGGAUUCAUUGGGCGUAAAGGGCGCGUAGGCGGCCUUCUAAGUCAGACGUGAAAUCCCCCGGCUUAACCUGGGAACUGCGUCUGAUACUGGGAGGCUUGAGUAUGGGAGAGGGAUGUAGAAUUCCAGGUGUAGCGGUGAAAUGCGUAGAUAUCUGGAGGAAUACCGGUGGCGAAGGCGGCAUCCUGGACCAUUACUGACGCUGAGGCGCGAAAGCUAGGGGAGCAAACGGG